AGGAGGAGGAGGAGAAGAAGAAGAAGGAGGAGGAGGAGGAGGAGGAAGAGGAGGAGGAGGAGGAGGGGGAGGAGAAGAAGAAGAAGAAGAAGAAGAAGAAGAAGAAGAAGAAGAAGAAGAAGAAGAAGAAGAAGAAGAAGAAGAAGAAGAAGAAGAAGAAGAAGAAGAAGAAGAAGAAGAACGGGACUUGCUCAGAAGAGCAAUGGGACUGCCCUUCCAGAGGGCUGUUUGAUUUCUGGCACCCACAUGGCAGCUCACAACCAUAUAACCCCACUUACAGGGGAUCUGACACCCUCUCCUGACCUCCAGGGGCACAGACAAAAUAUAUGCAGGCAAAAUACUCAUAACACAUAAAAUUAAACUAAAUUAAAAAAUGCAAGUGGGUGGGGUUUUCCUCCUUUGUCUCUAAUGCUUAUUCGCUGGAGAAUUAUCUCUGUCCCCAUGGCGAUAGGACUAUGUACAGUAAAUAAACAGCAAGGACCUGAGAGCAGCUAGGAUAUAACAGAGCAGAAGUAAAUAAGCAUGGACUGUACAUCGGAGUCGAGGAGGCAAAGAACCUAUCGUUUUAGCCUUACUCAAGUCCUCUUUUUUCUCAGGGAGGGGAACAGGACAUCACUAGAUAUUGAUUUUUUGCUGUCCUGCUAGAGAAUCUCACUCUUUCCAUUGGGAUGGGUCCUCAGAUAUCCGCCCUUGUCCCAUUGGAGAUUAUCCCUAUAAUGAAGAGACAUGAAGCCUGGGGCACCAGGAGGUAUUAGCAUUCAAAGCUAUAGGCCAGUAAGAUCUUGCAGGAAUGGAGUGGAUACUCAAUUUACAUGCAUCCCUUCCCCCCCCCACCCCCUCCCCUAUCCCUGGUACGGACAGGUCUCUGGUGAAAUUGUGUUAGGUGUGAAGAAAAAGCAGUUAAGAGCUGUUGUAGUGCCUAUGUUGGGGUCCUGUCUGGAUCACCUGUUUCUGUGAUCCUGUUAGGCAUCUGGGAGGGUGAAAGGGAGAAAGAAGGAAACUGGGAGAAGGCAGAGAUGUACAAGUGGGUGUUGCCAGCACAAGGAAUUCUAGAGUAUGGUGAUCCCACAGUGUCACUGGGGAAGGUAAGCAGUUGUGUGAGCACCGCCAUUUUGUCUAGUCAUGUGACGGUUGCAAUCUUAGCUUGCCAUGCUAGUGACGUCACUAGCGAAGAUCGUGACAGUGGCACAUGGUUAUUUCCUGAAGCCUGUGGUACAGUCAGCCCCAUGAUAACAUGAGCCAUCUACCUUCAAGGCCCAAGUCCCUAUGGAAUCCAAACAUCUCACAGGUUAUAUAUGGACAGUCACCUGGUAGCUGCCUCCCACUCUUACGUCUGGGCUCAGCAGCUGCUGUCAAUGCAUACAUUUCUCAGAGAAUCUAGGGACUCUCUUGGGCCCCAUCCAUGGAGUGCCAUAAGCUGGGAAGAGGAAAAGAGACAGAGAGAAAUUGAAUCUAAUUUCCAUAGGCUGUGAUUAAUUUACCUUUAGAAACCUGACUCUCAUUUUCAAAUGUUAAAAAGGGGUGGGUGGGUGAGUGGAAAUAGGCCAGUGGCGGCUUUGUUGAGAGAGAGAGAGAGAGAGAGAGAGAGAGAGAGAGAGAGAGAGAGAGAGAGAGGGAACAUCUUGCCAUUUUGCCAUGGCUGGCUUUCUAAGAUGUUAUACCUGUGGAUUUGAGUCUGGGGCACUCAGGUAAUUAGACAAAAUGGCAAAGCUCACACAGCUUAACUUCCUCAAUGCCACUGAGUCCCAGGGGAUCACCACACCCUAGCAUUCCCUGUGCUGCUGCAUUCAGUUGUGCAUCCCUGAUACCUCCCAGUUCCUUUUUCUUCCUUCGCCUUUCCAGAAGCCAGGUUCUCAUGUCUAUUUACAAGGAACUGUCCUGAGACACGUGGAUCCUUGCAGAAAAGGGAUAAUUUAUUAAAGGAGAAUUACAGACAAACUUAGAAGUGCGUCAGACCCAGCCUGUGGGCCAACUCCAAGAGAGGGAGAGAGGAGAGGAGAGGGGUGGCCUGGCGUAACCUUCUGUGUGUCAUUCACAUAGUGCCUGCCCUUCCCAAGUUUAUAUAAAGUACCUGGGAGCUUUUGAGCGCGCUCCUUGAAUGAAGCCCAGGUGGGCCAGCAUCUAGUCUUUUGAUGUUGAUGUUGCCACCUGUCAAAUGUUAAUCUUCGAAGUCUCCACCUAAUUCCCUAUUCUCCAGCCUCGCCCUCUCUUUGCCUUGUCAUCCUUCAAAGCGACAGAGCUGAGGGCUUCUGGGACUCAGCUUCCCAGAGAAAGUGGUGGAGAAUUAUAAAUUUGCAACAGAAUUUUCCUAUCUACAGAAGCAGCACCGCAAGCCCCCUGGCUCUGCAUCUGAGCAGCUGAGACUCUCAGGAGCUCAGCCGGAGCCUGAGAGAAAAGCUUGGCUACUCACCUACAGGGCUAGAUCCUGGGAGGCUGCAUAGACCUCCAAUCCACAGUGUCAGAGGCCAGGAGACUGCCUAGGCCACCAAUCCAGUGUUGGAGCCCAGGAACUUGUCACUCCCCCACCCCCACCCCAUCCCCCUUGAGUCCAGGAUGUCUGACUCCUUCCUGGCAUUUGGACGGGUGAGAUGCGUUCCAGUCAUACUCCCUGGGUGGGAGGCACAAGGAUUCCUGGGACAUUCAUCAGAACCUCCAUCUUCCCCCAGGCACAUGAUUCUGCUGUUCCUUGAAGCACCCUCAUAGGUGGGACCUGAACAGCUGCAAGGGGAUUGAGCGACCAAGAAUUGGAAGCAAAUGGGAGGUUUGACUUGUACAGUGUACACUGUCAACUCUGGGAACUGAAUGAAGGACUGAGCUUGUGUGCCAGCUGCUACUGAGAGGAAGUGAGGCUCCACAUCGAUCCACAUUGGACACUGUUUGCUUGGCACAGAGGCACUGUCUGCCAAGGUCUGCUUGCACCCAGAGAGGAGCAACCUUGACCUAUGGCACAAAGGCCUCACCUUAGGCUAAGCACCCCCAGGCCAUCUGCAGAAGGCUGCUGCCCACAUCUCUAACCACUCCAGAGUAGGUAAUUCCCAGCUCUUCUUCAUAACUCCCCCUUCCCUGUCCUGUCUGUGUGUGCCCAGAUAAACCAACUUCACAUCUUGAUGUCUCCCUCCCCCUCUCCCUCUUCCUCUCCGUGUGUGUGUGUGUGUGUGUGUGUGUGUGUGGUGUGUGGUGUGUGGUGUGUGUGUGUAUAUGGUGUGCACACCCGUGCACAUAUAUGCAAAUGGAAGGGUAAAUGAGACCCUAAUAGUUUCUUCUUUUCUCAUCCUAGGCUCCCCUCUGGCCCUAUGUCAUCUCCUGUCUCCCACACCCCACAUCUAUAUCUUUGACACAUGGUCCUGCUCUCAGUCCUUUCUUACCCUCUUCUUGGCACCACCUGUCUUAGAUACGGUUUCGUUGCUGUGGAGAGUCACUGUGACCAAGGCAACUCUUAUAAAGGCUAACAUUUAACUGGGGCUUGCUUACAGUUUCAGAGGUUAAGUCCAUUGUCACCAUGGUGGGAAACAUAGCAGCAUCCAGGCAGACAUGGUGCUGGAGACAGAACACAGAGUUCUACAUCUUGAUCUGCAGGCAGCAAGGAAGAGACUGUCUGGAUGUAUCUUGAGCAUACUAGACCUCAAAGCCCACCCCCCACAAUGACACACUUCCUCCAACAAGGCCACACCUGCUAAUAGUGCCACUCCCUAUGGGCCAAGUCAAACCAUCACACUGCCUAAUUUCCCUUUUAGCCUCUUAUAGGUCCUGGGGCCUUCCCUGCUAAGCAGGAGGGGUACAGUCCAGGGCAAGGCGCUUCGGGGGUACAGAUUAGCAUCUUAGAUGGCACUUAGGACUGAGCUCGGACAGGAUGUAAGACGAAACCUUUGUAGGGCAGAACCCAACUGUGAGCCAGGGUCCUAGACCAGCAGGUUCUUUCCCCCAGGAGGUCCUAGGACAACCUUAGUGGACAAACUAAGGGCUUAGGUCUCAGGUCAUAAAACUCAAGUUCCUCAGACCCUUCGGCUCCAGCUGCUAUGGGACUCGUGAGAGAACCAGCAGCCUAUAGGACGGUCAGUACAGUCAGAAUGAACACCAGAAACCAGGAGGUGAUAGGUAGGUGUGGAUUGAGAAGACUAAAUGCCAUAAAAAAUUUAUCAAAAUGUUAUGGGUGACUUUAUACUGAUUACUUGUUGAAAUAAUAUUUUGUAUAUUCUGGAUGAAAUAAAUGUAGCCACUUGUUUCUCUUUUUGUUUAGACAGAGUCUUGCUGUGUGGCCCAGACUGACAUAUUCUUUCUGCCUCAGUCUUCCAAAAGCUGAGAUUGUAGACCUGCCUGGCUCUUUUUUGCUUUUUUAAUUAAAGAUUUAUUUAUUUAUUUAUUUAUUUAUUUAUUUAUUUAUUUAUUUAUUAUAAGUAUGCUGUAGCUGUCUUCAGACACACCAGAAGAGGGCAUCAGAUCUCAUUACAGAUGGUUGUGAGCUACCAUGUGGUUGCUGGGAAUUGAACUCAGGACCUCUGGAAGAGCAGUCAGUGCUCUUAACCACUGAGCCAUCUCUCCAGCCCCCUUUUUUGCUUUUUAAAUAUUGCAAUUAAAUUGUAUUUGUUUUUUCACAUUUGUUUCUGUGGAGUACAGCCAGUUUUAGGUUUGAAAGGCAUCAGAGAGGCCUUCGGAUGGUUUCUCAGAGUGGGAAACAGGUCGUAGAAACUUGCUUUCAUCUCUAGACGCACACUGAUCUGACCGUGGCCAGCAGUCAGCAUCUCCCUGAGGCCCUGUGCUCAGGAGUAAGACUGUUGCAGUGCCUUCCUUUUCCUGGGAGAACAGCUCUUCCCUAGGACCCUGCUCUCUUCAAACCACCCCCAGGGAAAUGGGCCACCAUCUGGGCCCUUAAGAUAAAGUUUAUUGUCAUAGUGAAAUACGGGGGUAAGAGAGGAAUGGAGGAAGGAAGAGAGAGGGAGAGGGGAGUGUUAGGGAAAGAAGUCAUGUUGAUAAAGACGAUAUGGGAGAAGACAUGGUCCUUACUGCACCUACUCACGGGCUCUGGGGCUGUGAGCAGUCCAUGGAAUCCCAAAGCUGCAUCUGCCCUAAGCGCCCUUCCCAGCACAUCCGAAGCCAAAGCAGGUUUAGUACUCCUAAAAGGCAGACACCAGUAGAUUCCUUUUCCCCACCCCACAAUGCAGUUCUUACCCAGGCAAUUACGUUUCCGCCCCUUCUGUUUUACAUUAGGUAGAGAGUAAAGAUGACCCAGUGACUCUCAAAAACUCCUGGCAGAGGGUGGUGGAUGAGAGGGGCAGGCCCCCUUAGCUGGUGGAAUCUGGCACUUCUGGAGGAGGAGAAGUGCCCUUUGCAGAAUGUCAUGUGGAAAUGCGGGUUCCUCAGAAAGGAGCUGGAUCAUUGAGAGCCAAUAAGUACAUACUUACGGUGGAAAACUGCCAGUUCUGGAGGGGUCUCUGCUAUUGCUUUUGGGAUGAUUUUGGGGUACUCCUGAAGGGUCAUCUGACUGUGAUGGUUAGCAUUAGGUAGCAACUAGACUGCUGAAGCUAGACUCUUCCUGCUGAUUUGAACAUCAGACCUGGAGGCCCAGUGGCCUUGAGACACUAGGACUAGUGGCCUCUAGUAGAGCCUCAGAAUAAAUUACACCAUUGACUUCCAUGGUCCGGGCCUUUGAGCUUGGACUAAGCCAUACUGCCAGCACCCCAGGGCCUUCAGAUGGUCCCAUCAUGAGACUAAUCAGAUGCCACACCAUUUUUCACCAUGACUUUCCUCACCCUUACAGUGACAUCCUUUCCAUGAUGUCGGUGAUUAACAUGACCUCUGUCAUCUCUUCAUUGUGUUUGAGGAAGCACACUAGAGGUGACCGCUCAAACACCGCUUAUAGCCAAUUGAAACUCUAUACUCCAGAUGGUUGGGAUUACACUUAGAUAUUCAGGACCCAAGUCUAGUGCCACGUGUUUUUGGUUUUGUUUUUAUCUUUAAUCUUUUAUUACUGUGCAGUCGUUAUCCCCCUCCCGUUCUGCCCUCUGACAGUUCCUCAUCCCAUUCUUCCUCCCCCAUCUCCAGUGAGGGGUUUUUAAAGGUAAAAAAAACCACAUCCUGGUAUCCUGCUUGGCAAGCAAGCAUUUUAACAGAAGCUAAGCUUGCGGGUGCAUCUCGGCCCUGGGUUCCUAGAAUAGACUUGGGUAACAUUCCAUGGGGUUCCUCCAUCGAGGAGAUCAGAUUCAAGUUAAACCAAAAGUGGCCUCAACAAGAAUAAAAGAUGGAGGAGCCUCUCCAUGGUCUUGCCCUGGCACAUUUUGCCCACAGUCUUGCCUCUCCACCUGAUAUCCUGUUACCGUGACUAGUGCCAGCACUGCCAGUGUUCCCGUACCCGUUACCAUCCCCAGAGCCACCCUUACCUCUGUGGUCACCACUGCUAUUGCUCAGAUCACCACCGUCACCUUCACCUCCACCCUGGGCGUUUUCUCAGCCACACACUCCUCCGCUUACGAUGGGGCCUAUGCCUCCUCGACAAGCCUUAUGAACUGAAAACGCCCUAAUGAGAAAGACAUCUACAUUUAAUGUAUGGAGCAUCACAGCGGAAGAGGAUGUGCUACAUAUAGUCUAUGGGUAGCCUGAGAAGAAAUGAAAAUGUAAAACUCAGCCAGGCGUGUUGGCGAAGACACAUAAUCUCAUUUACUGGGGCAACCGAGGCCAAAAGAUUUUGAGUUCAAGGACAGCCUGGGUGACCUAGCUAGACCCUGUCUUUAAAGAAAAGAAAAGGCUGAGCAUAUAGCUCAGUGAUAGAGCACUGGCCUUGCAUGAAUGAAGCCCUAGGUCCAAUCUUUAGUGACUUAAAAAAACAGAACAAAAGUUUAAAAAAAAGACUAUUUAGAGCUAUUCUUUCUUUUAUUUUUUUUUUAUUAUCUAUGAGUACACUGUAGCUGUCUUCAGAUACACCAGAAGAGGGCAUCAGAUCCCAUUACAGAUGGUUGUGAGCCACCAUGUGGUUGCUGAGAUUUGAACUCAGGACCUCUGGAAGAGAGCAGUCGGUGCUCUUAACCGCUGAGCCAUCUCUCCAGCCCCUAGAGCUAUGCUUUUAGCAGUGUGUGUAUCACAUUUGCACCACUGUAAAACCGAGAAGUUCUGUAUUGAGCCAUCUUAAAUCAAGGACCUUGUAAGCUUGGGGAGAAGAAAAGACAGGGAAGAGAUUGAGCAAUUCAGCGAUAGCACAGGCUUCAUCAGGGAAGAGACCGGCAAUGGAGGGUGUCUACUGUAAGAAAACCAGACCUGUUGUCUGGGGUAUAGACUUAUAGACUGGGGUAGUUGGAGAGCAGAAGAUGGAGUAGGAGAAGGGAACUGAAACUCUUCACUUUGGGGCCACAUUGGCUCUUACGAGGACUACUUAGGGAAAUAAGGUAGGCUGAAGAAUAUGGGAUAAGAAAAAGAAAAGAAUGCCAGGUGAUCAAUUAAGUGCCUCUUGUGAUUGGCUGCUUGAGCUUAGGGGCGUGGUCAGUAGGGUGGAAACAGAAAGAAUCUAGAUUAACACUUUAGUUCUAGGAAAGAAAUUACUUUGGUUUCAGGAAUUGUCAUAGUUUAGAUGGAAGAGUCUUACAAAAAUGGCGUGACCAUAGUCAAGAACCAUCCAUAUUCCCAACCGUCAUGUCCACCACUGUCUCUGCAUUUACCUCCAUCACCGUCCCCAUCACUGCCAUCACCACCAUUCCUCCGAAGUCCAGAGCCUGUUGUGUAGCAGUCUCCUCCCAGAUGAAACAUUCCUAUUUAGAUCAUUAUGAUACCCACGGCAGACUCUAUUCAGCAUGGAAGCUUGAAGUAAACACCUCAGAAGUUUUAGGAAGUUCCUGAAACUGUUCAGAAGUACUAGAUUUCCUCCCUCCCCAAGCUUCUGUAAACUAGAAAGACUGCUAAAAGACACUCAAAUAAACUGAGCUGCCCAGAAGGGGUCAGACCAACUGAUCUACCUGCAGGAGAUACUCUCCAAUCUGUUGAGUUACCGGCAAGUUAUGCAGUGGGCUCCAGGUUUCCAGUUCUCAUGAGCUCUUCACCCAUGCUGGGGUGAACUUCGGUGAUACAACUGACUUCAAGUCAUUUCUGCUCCUGUAAGCAAGCACUCAUCCACACUUCAUUCUGUUAGUAACUCCCAAUAAACUCAUUGAUUUACCCAAUGAACUUCCUUACUUUGGUCUGCCAUCACUUCCUAUUGAGGGUGAGUAGACAUUUGCUUGUGCCUCCCUGGGAACACUGGUUGGACUUUUGUGGUAUCUUUGCUUUGUCAAUGGUUCCCUAUCAGGGGUGAAUAGGUUUGUUUGGCUUUUCAGGAAUAGCAUCACACAAAAUUGUCUAGCAUUAAAACUGAGACUCAAGCCCCUACCUACCACCACGUGGCACAGACAAAGACAGCCCAGAGACUCCCUGCCGACCACCUUAAUAAGCAAGUAUGUGAUGGAGAGACGGGAGAGGAAGAGAAGCAGAAUGGUCCGUGCACUAUGAAGAGAGAUGGAACUGGAGACACGAGGGUGGUGAGGAACAGCCUGAUGUGAGAGCCUGUGCUGUUACUUGAGGCCAUGAUGAUGUCCUGACCAUGUCUGGGUCUGUGGCCCUGCAGCUGCAGGAGUCUGUGGACAUCCUAUAGAUCCCAUGCAGGGUUUAUGGCCCCUAUUACCACCAAAGGUUUUGCAGAUGGCCCUGAUCCUUGGGGCCAUGUUGAUGUCUGAGGGUUACACAGCUGGCCCUACCCCUUAUUGGCUGCAUUCCAGGAAAUGUUUCCACAUACCCCAUCCUGCACCUCAUGUGGGCAGCACAGAAGAGCUGGCCCUGGUAGUGUGUAUGGAAAACUGGCCCUGAGGGCAUGAGUGAAGGGGGGAACUGGCCCUGCCCCUUGCCUGAGAAUCUUGGGAGAGCUGGUCCCAGGCAGGGCAUGAGAGCUGAUAAACUGGCCUCACUCCUCACUGGCUGUAGCACUCGGGGAAUUGGGCCCCCCAUCUCACUUGGGCAGUGAGGUAGAACUGGCUCUGAUGGAAUGGACACAGAAAAGCCAGCCCCAAGGGUAUGAGAGCCGGAUAGCUGGCCCUGUCCCUUGCUUAGGCAAAGCAGGAGCUGGCCCUUGUGGUCCCCAGGUAAGAGAGCUGGCAGGAUGACCAACUCAACUGCCACCCAGGCCCAGAUCCAGGGCUAUGAGUUGACCUGCACAUCAUCUACCCUAUUUAUGAAUUUCUGGAGUAUGGGAAGGAACCAGUCCUUGACAUCUCCAUGACACAAGGCGACAUCAGGAUAUCUGAGAGGAGUCAUGGUGAGAAUCCAGUAUUGACAAUGUAGCAGAAGCCAGAGGCCUGGAACCAGACAAAUGACUCAUUGCAAUGAACAUUUGCAAGUAAAGCAGUUUGGGCAAAAGGGCGCACCGUGUGACACACCAUGAACCAUGUAGCUCCCAUGGUGAGAUUUUAUUUUACUUGACUUAUUUUUAUUUUUUGUUUUCUUUGAGAGGGGGGAGGUUGCAAGGGUGGAGGGCAGAUAUGGAAGGAUGGGGAGAUGCGUGGGAUUGGGGUACAUGAUGUGAAAUUCAUAAAGAAUCAAUAAAAAAAGUUAAAAAACAAACAAACUUGAGACUCAAGACCAGGAUCCGUCAGAAAACAUGCUGCCAGGAUGCUAAACACACGGAGACUUUUCAGAGCAGAGGAUCAGCAAGCCAGGUGUCCCCUCUUAACCUGAGAGCUGACCCUUCCUCAGGAUGCUUCUAACAGUUCAUUCAGCUGCCACCCAUGCUUACCCCUAAAGAGACAGCUGCUGCCUAGAUGAAGGAUGGGGGCCAUUAAUCUGGGGCUGCCCUCGUUUGCAUAAUUGUUGCAUGCAUUUGCAUCUAUUUGCUUCCAGCCUCUGAAUACUGCACUGUGGGUGUUUGGGUAUGAUUUGCAUAUCACUGCAGGUGAGGGUCAGGUCUUUAAGACUCGGGUACUUAUUAAUUCCCCCAUCUCCAAGAGAUUCUUUUAUGUGGUGGUUCAGAAAAAAAAAGCUGGAAUGCUUAUUUCUAGAAUGAUCCUGGGGAGUGCUCCAGGUGGAGAGGUGGGUAAGCUCCAGAGUCUGUCAGAAGAGAAUAAUAGUAUGCCACCCUGUCGUCCCUGCUAUCCUCUCCUGACAGGCUACCCUACCUCUCCACCUAGUGAGUCAUGCAUACCCACCUAGACCUGGGCCCCAGCCUAGCCCUGCCCCCAGCAUCCACCCAACCCCUCCCCUCCCAUCCAGAGAGCCCGAACUUGAUGUAAUGGGUAUGGCUACCUGGGGGCUUCCCCCAAAUUUACCAAAGAAAUAACUGGCUGAAAGAAGGAAAAGGGAAGAUGGGCAGAGCCUCCUGCACACCCCCUUCACAGCCUGCCCUUCAGCAUCUCAGACUACUUGUGGGUCCUUAAUUACUGAAUGACACAGGGUGGUCUUUGAAAUGAGAGCCUGGCCUAAAGAGAACCAGAUCCGUUAAUGGAGGACAGCAGAGCCUGAGGUAAACCAGAAACAGCCCCUAAGGCUGUCAUUGUAGUGAUACCCAGCCCCUACUCAACUCUAAGGGCCAUGGGGACAGUGUUUGUGCUGCUUUCAUCCAAACAGUUGGGACUGGGACAGCAGGUGGCUCCCAACUAAUACUAUCAUCUGUGUUCAUAUAGUGGGACUUAUGAAGCAUGAGGAGGCAGAGCCCCAGACACAUGGUUGUCACUGUCGUGAGAGCUCCCCCUUUAUGAAUGAGUUAUCUCCCUAAUGAAAAGAGGACCUGGGAGUGUAGCUCACUGAUAGAGUACUUUCCUAGCAUCCAUGAGUCCCUGUGUUUGAUUCUCAGCACUGCAUAAACCAGGCUUGGUGGCACAAGCCUGUCACCCCAGCAUCAAGGAGGUAGAAGCCAGGGGAAUAAGGCUUCGAGGGUAUCCUAAGCUGCAAAAAGAGUCCCAAGUCAGCCUGGGCUACAUGAGACAGUCUCAACAAAAAUAAA
Molecule: non-coding RNA, 10945 nt
Organism: Rattus norvegicus (Norway rat)
Lineage: Eukaryota; Metazoa; Chordata; Mammalia; Rodentia; Muridae
Source: RefSeq, a predicted model, not a curated record